CCUACGGGUGGCAGCAGUGAGGAAUAUUGGUCAAUGGGCGCGAGCCUGAACCAGCAAAGUAGCGUGAAGGAUGACUGCCCUACGGGUUGUAAACUUCUUUUAUAAAGGAAUAAAGUGAGGCAAGAGUGCCUUUUUGUAUGUACUUUAUGAAUAAGGAUCGGCUAACUCCGUGACAGCAGCCGAGGUAAUACGGAGGAUCCGGGCGUUAUCCGGAUUUAUUGGGUUUAAAGGGAGCGUAGGUGGGUUGUUAAGUCAGUUGUGACAGUUUGAGGCUCAACCGGUAAAUUGGAAUUGGUAAUGGCCGUCUUGAGUACAGUUGAGGCAGGCGGAAUUCGUGGUGUAGCGGUGAAAUGCUUAGAUAUCACGAAGAACUCCGAUUGCGAAGGCAGCUUACUAAACUGCCACUGACAUUGAUGCUCGAAAGUGUGGGUAUCAAACAGGAUUAGAUACCCGUGUAGUC
RNAcentral lists this ribosomal RNA (460 nucleotides) under uncultured bacterium. RNAcentral describes it as "partial 16S ribosomal RNA". It matches the Rfam family "Bacterial small subunit ribosomal RNA", at positions 338 to 795 of the family's 1533-position model. The record is from RNAcentral.